GUAGACGUGAGAGUCGAGGGGUAGCAGAGGAGCUUGCUCUUGCUGACGACCGGCGCACGGGUGCGUAACGCGUAUACAAUCUGCCUUACACUAAGGGAUAGCCCAGAGAAAUUUGGAUUAACACCUUAUAGUUUAUUUUUAUGGCAUCAUUUAAAUAAUAAAGUUUACGGUGUAAGAUGAGUAUGCGUCCCAUUAGUUUGUUGGUAAGGUAACGGCUUACCAAGACUACGAUGGGUAGGGGCCCUGAGAGGGGGAUCCCCCACACUGGUACUGAGACACGGACCAGACUCCUACGGGAGGCAGCAGUGAGGAAUAUUGGACAAUGGAGGAGACUCUGAUCCAGCCAUGCCGCGUGCAGGAAGACGGUCCUAUGGAUUGUAAACUGCUUUUAUACAGGAAGAAUAAGGACUACGUGUAGUCUGGUGACGGUACUGUAAGAAUAAGGACCGGCUAACUCCGUGCCAGCAGCCGCGGUAAUACGGAGGGUCCGAGCGUUAUCCGGAAUUAUUGGGUUUAAAGGGUCCGUAGGCGGGCUGUUAAGUCAGGGGUGAAAGUUUGCAGCUCAACUGUAGAAUUGCCUUUGAUACUGAUGGUCUUGAAUUAUUGUGAAGUGGUUAGAAUAUGUAGUGUAGCGGUGAAAUGCAUAGAUAUUACAUAGAAUACCGAUUGCGAAGGCAGAUCACUAACAAUUGAUUGACGCUGAUGGACGAAAGCGUGGGUAGCGAACAGGAUUAGAUACCCUGGUAGUCCACGCCGUAAACGAUGGAUACUAGCUGUUUGGAUUUCGAUCUGAGCGGCCAAGCGAAAGUGAUAAGUAUCCCACCUGGGGAGUACGUUCGCAAGAAUGAAACUCAAAGGAAUUGACGGGGGCCCGCACAAGCGGUGGAGCAUGUGGUUUAAUUCGAUGAUACGCGAGGAACCUUACCAGGGCUUAAAUGUAGAUUGACAGGUUUAGAGAUAGACUUUUCUUUCGGGCAAUUUACAAGGUGCUGCAUGGUUGUCGUCAGCUCGUGCCGUGAGGUGUCAGGUUAAGUCCUUUAACGAGCGCAACCCCUGUUGCUAGUUACCAGCACAUUAAUGGUGGGGAACUCUAGCAAAAAUGGCC
This 1105-nucleotide ribosomal RNA is filed under the name Cellulophaga sp. Mc108. RNAcentral's name for it is "bacterial SSU rRNA". It matches the Rfam family "Bacterial small subunit ribosomal RNA", at positions 49 to 1154 of the family's 1533-position model. The record is from RNAcentral. Lineage: Bacteria; Pseudomonadati; Bacteroidota; Flavobacteriia; Flavobacteriales; Flavobacteriaceae.